This 244-nucleotide ribosomal RNA is filed under the name uncultured bacterium. RNAcentral's name for it is "partial 16S ribosomal RNA". It matches the Rfam family "Bacterial small subunit ribosomal RNA", at positions 333 to 593 of the family's 1533-position model. The record is from RNAcentral.
GUUAGCCUACGGGGGGCAGCAGUGGGGGAUAUUGCACAAUGGGGGGAACCCUGAUGCAGCGACGCCGCGUGGGUGAAGGAGCGUUUCGGCGCGUAAAGCCCUAUCGGCAGGGAAGAAGGGGGACGGUACCUGACUAAGAAGCCCCGGCUAACUACGUGACCGCAGUCGCCGUAAUACGUAGGGGGCAAGCGUUAUCCGGAUUUACUGGGUGUAAAGGGGGCGCAGACGGCAGCGCAAGCCACGC